RNAcentral lists this small nuclear RNA (328 nucleotides) under Ursus americanus (American black bear). RNAcentral describes it as "7SK RNA (ENSUAMG00000002093.1)". It matches the Rfam family "7SK RNA". From Rfam's summary of the family: 7SK was discovered as an abundant small nuclear RNA in the mid-70s but a possible function has only recently been suggested. The record is from Rfam by way of RNAcentral. Lineage: Eukaryota; Metazoa; Chordata; Mammalia; Carnivora; Ursidae.
AGAUGUGAGGGCGAUCUGGCUGCGACAUUGUCGCCCCAUUGAUCGCCAGGGUUGAUUCGGCUGAUCUGGCUGGCUAGGCGGGUGCCCCCUUCCUCCCUCACCGCUCCAUGUGCGUCCCUCCCGAAGCUGCGCGCUCGGUGGAAGAGGACGACCUUCCCGCGAUAGAGGAGGACCGUUCUUCGGUCAAGGUACCGAGUAGCUGUGCUCCCCUGCUACAACCUCCAAACGAGCUCCCAAAAGACAGCUGAUUAUUAAAACAAAAAUAAUAAUGCAGUGUGGGGUUUAUAACAUAUGCAAACUAAAACAUAUGACAAAACGGUCAAAGCAU